RNAcentral lists this ribosomal RNA (627 nucleotides) under Bacillus sp. R1(2012). RNAcentral describes it as "bacterial SSU rRNA". It matches the Rfam family "Bacterial small subunit ribosomal RNA", at positions 57 to 665 of the family's 1533-position model. The record is from RNAcentral. Lineage: Bacteria; Bacillati; Bacillota; Bacilli; Caryophanales; Bacillaceae.
GCAGUCGAGCGAAUGGAUUAAGAGCUUGCUCUUAUGAAGUUAGCGGCGGACGGGUGAGUAACACGUGGGUAACCUGCCCAUAAGACUGGGAUAACUCCGGGAAACCGGGGCUAAUACCGGAUAACAUUUUGAACCGCAUGGUUCGAAAUUGAAAGGCGGCUUCGGCUGUCACUUAUGGAUGGACCCGCGUCGCAUUAGCUAGUUGGUGAGGUAACGGCUCACCAAGGCAACGAUGCGUAGCCGACCUGAGAGGGUGAUCGGCCACACUGGGACUGAGACACGGCCCAGACUCCUACGGGAGGCAGCAGUAGGGAAUCUUCCGCAAUGGACGAAAGUCUGACGGAGCAACGCCGCGUGAGUGAUGAAGGCUUUCGGGUCGUAAAACUCUGUUGUUAGGGAAGAACAAGUGCUAGUUGAAUAAGCUGGCACCUUGACGGUACCUAACCAGAAAGCCACGGCUAACUACGUGCCAGCAGCCGCGGUAAUACGUAGGUGGCAAGCGUUAUCCGGAAUUAUUGGGCGUAAAGCGCGCGCAGGUGGUUUCUUAAGUCUGAUGUGAAAGCCCACGGCUCAACCGUGGAGGGUCAUUGGAAACUGGGAGACUUGAGUGCAGAAGAGGAAAGUGGA